UCGAACGCGAAAGCCCCGCAAGGGGCAAGUAGAGUGGCAAACGGGUGAGUAACACGUGGGUGACCUGCCUUCGAGCGGGGGAUAACGUCCCGAAAGGGACGCUAAUACCGCAUAACAUCCUGCCUUUGAAGAGGUAGAGAUCAAAGCCGGGGAUCGCAAGACCUGGCACUCGGAGAGGGGCCCGCGCCUGAUUAGCUAGUUGGUGGGGUAAUGGCCUACCAAGGCAACGAUCAGUAUCCGGCCUGAGAGGGCGGACGGACACACUGGGACUGAGACACGGCCCAGACUCCUACGGGAGGCAGCAGUGGGGAAUUGUUCGCAAUGGGCGCAAGCCUGACGACGCAACGCCGCGUGGAGGAUGAAGAUUUUCGGAUCGUAAACUCCUGUCGAAUGGGACGAAUAGAUUGCGGGUUAACAGCCCGUAGUCCUGACGGUACCGUUAAAGGAAACCCCGGCUAACUCCGUGCCAGCAGCCGCGGUAAUACGGGGGGGGUAAGCGUUG
RNAcentral lists this ribosomal RNA (502 nucleotides) under uncultured bacterium. RNAcentral describes it as "bacterial SSU rRNA". It matches the Rfam family "Bacterial small subunit ribosomal RNA", at positions 62 to 543 of the family's 1533-position model. The record is from RNAcentral.